UCCUGGCUCAGAUUGAACGCUGCGGAAUGCUUUACACAUGCAAGUCGAACGGCAGCACGGGGCAACCUGGUGGCGAGUGGCGAACGGGUGAGUAAUACAUCGGAACGUGCCCAAUCGUGGGGGAUAACGUAGCGAAAGUUACGCUAAUACCGCAUACGAUCUACGGAUGAAAGCGGGGGAUCGCAAGACCUCGCGCGAAUGGAGCGGCCGAUGUCAGAUUAGGUAGUUGGUGGGGUAAAGGCUCACCAAGCCAACGAUCUGUAGCUGGUCUGAGAGGACGACCAGCCACACUGGAACUGAGACACGGUCCAGACUCCUACGGGAGGCAGCAGUGGGGAAUUUUGGACAAUGGGCGCAAGCCUGAUCCAGCCAUGCCGCGUGAGUGAAGAAGGCCUUCGGGUUGUAAAGCUCUUUCGGCCGGGAAGAAAUCGCAUGGGUUAAUACCCUGUGUGGAUGACGGUACCGGAAUAAGAAGCACCGGCUAACUACGUG
Molecule: ribosomal RNA, 492 nt
Filed under: uncultured bacterium
Lineage: Bacteria
Description: bacterial SSU rRNA
Rfam family: Bacterial small subunit ribosomal RNA
Source: RNAcentral